Molecule: ribosomal RNA, 440 nt
Filed under: uncultured bacterium
Lineage: Bacteria
Description: partial 16S ribosomal RNA
Rfam family: Bacterial small subunit ribosomal RNA
Source: RNAcentral
CCUACGGGGGGCAGCAGUAGGGAAUCUUGCUCAAUGGGGGAAACCCUGACGCAGCAACGCCGCGUGGAGGAUGAAGGUUUUCGGAUUGUAAACUCCUUUUGUUAGAGAAGAUAAUGACGGUAUCUAACGAAUAAGCACCGGCUAACUCCGUGCCAGCAGCCGCGGUAAUACGGAGGGUGCAAGCGUUACUCGGAAUCACUGGGCGUAAAGCGCGCGGAGGCGGGAUAGCAAGUCAGAUGUGAAAUCCUAUGGCUUAACCAUAGAACUGCAUUUGAAACUGUUAUUCUAGAGUAUGGGAGAGGUGAGUGGAAUUCUUGGUGUAGGGGUAAAAUCCGUAGAGAUCAAGAGGAAUACUCAUUGCGAAGGCGACCUGCUAGAACAUAACUGACGCUGAUGCGCGAAAGCGUGGGGAGCAAACAGGAUUAGAUACCCUUGUAGUC